UUUUCUUUCUAAGUUCAAAAAUAUUAAAUAAAACAUAAAUGAAAAUAUUACUCCCCCUCCCUUUCUUUUAUCAAUGCUGAUUUUUCUGUUCUUUUCUUUCAUUUCUUCCUUAUCCUCUUCUUUUCUCCUUCUUCAACCCUAGCCACCCCAUAGUUUUCGCCACCAUGAAUAACAUAUUUUCUGGCUUGAAAAUGACACUGAAGUGUUGCUCUCCAUUCCCUCUUUUAAAUGCUUCAAUUAGAUUUUUCAAAAAAUUUUCAAAAGUUACAAAAAUGCUUUCAAACUUUCAAACUUCUCUAACUUCCAUCUAAAGCUCCAACCGUCGAAACAUCUUGUAAUUUUGACCAUGACUUCUUCGUAGUAUGAUGAACUUCUUCACUGCUCAAAUCUCCUAAAUGGGUUUUAAAAAAAUUACCUUAAAAAUCUGAAACUUUGGGUUUCCUAUGUUGGAUUGACUAGCUAUUGCAACCAUGGUGGUUGAUAUUUAAGCCUUUGCCGAAUUAUUUUCUACUGUCAUGGGGUUUUGAGGGUCUUGAUCUUAUUAAGGAUUGAAGGGCUAGUUGAUGGAGGUUAGGAGUUGAUGGUUCAUCAACAUUGAAUGUAAGCCUUAGAUCUCGAUGUUGUAGUUAUUUAUAAGCAAACAAAAUUGUUGCAGAUUUGAGUUUGUUUUUUCAUAAUUCUAAAUUUGAUUUUUAUUUAUUUAUUUUCGAAUUAGUUUUAGAAUUAAGUGAUUGAUGUCUUUCCUCUUUUUGUUAAAUAUUCAUUUAAUUAUUUUAUUUGUUUGCAUAUAUAGUUAUCUUGAACCAAAGUUUUGUUGGGUUAUUGAUGAAUGUUGUUCAAAUUUCUUUAAUUUUAUUUACAAAAG
This 865-nucleotide long non-coding RNA is filed under the name Gossypium barbadense (sea-island cotton). RNAcentral's name for it is "long non-coding RNA (GBAR_LNC005564)". The record is from RNAcentral. Lineage: Eukaryota; Viridiplantae; Streptophyta; Magnoliopsida; Malvales; Malvaceae.